GGGUGCCUGCUGUGUGCUGGACCUGCUGGGCCCCAGGCAGGGCAUCCUUUAGACCCUCUGGGAGGCUCCAGCCCCUGCCUGCUGGAUCGCCAGGCCCCGGGGCUGCGAGAGCCUCACUGGCCGUGUCCCCACCCGACAGAGCACAACUCUAUGUGGGCGUCCCUGAGCAGCCCCGACGCCGAGGCUGUGGAGCCCGACUUCUCCAGCAUCGAGCGGCUGUUCUCAUUCCCUGCAGCCAAGCCCAAGGAGCCCACCGCAGCGGCCACCCGAGCCAGGAAGGAGCCCAAGGAGGUGGGGACGGGGAAGGGACUCAGACCGGGGCCGCCUGCCUGGCCACCCUCCGGUACCAGCCUGUUGGGUGGGGGGUUUUCUAGAUCACUUUCCUCGAUGCCAAGAAGAGCCUGAACCUCAACAUCUUCCUGAAGCAAUUUAAGUGCUCCAACGAGGAGGUCGCUGCUAUGAUCCGGGCCGGGGAUACCACCAAGUUUGAUGUGGAGGUUCUCAAACAACUCCUUAAGCUCCUUCCGGAGAAGCACGAGAUUGAAAACCUGCGGGCAUUCACAGAGGAGCGAGCCAAGCUGGCCAGCGCCGACCACUUCUACCUCCUCCUGCUGGCCAUUCCCUGCUACCAGCUGCGAAUCGAGUGCAUGCUGCUGUGUGAGGGCGCGGCCGCCGUGCUGGACAUGGUGCGGCCCAAGGCCCAGCUGGUGCUGGCUGCCUGCGAAAGCCUGCUCACCAGCCGCCAGCUGCCCAUCUUCUGCCAGCUGAUCCUGAGAAUUGGGAACUUCCUCAACUACGUAAGUCAGGAGCAGCUCCCCAUCCCACCUGGUGCCGGGGGCUGGCGAGACUCACUCCCUGCCCCUCCCAGGGCAGCCACACCGGUGACGCCGACGGCUUCAAGAUCAGCACAUUGCUGAAGCUCACGGAGACCAAGUCCCAGCAGAACCGCGUGACGCUGCUGCACCACGUGCUGGAGGAAGCGGAAAAGAGCCACCCCGACCUCCUGCAGCUG
Molecule: small RNA, 1012 nt
Filed under: Pongo abelii (Sumatran orangutan)
Lineage: Eukaryota; Metazoa; Chordata; Mammalia; Primates; Hominidae
Description: retained intron
Source: RNAcentral